UAUUUCUAGUUUUGACUGAAGUGUUGAUGAAGUCUGGAGAUGUGUAUGUCGGAAGAGAAGGUGGAGAGGUGGAGAUCAGAUGUUCAUAUCCAGAUAAACACAUUUAUACAUCCAAGUACUUCUGCCGUGAACCCUGUAAAAAUGUUUUGAUUAAAACUGAAAAAGUUGAUCAGGUCUUCACAACUGAAAGAUACUCUUUGUUUAGUAGUGUGAAUGAACGGUUCUUUACUGUAACCAUCAGAAAGCUCAGACUCACAGACACUGGUGUUUAUUACUGUGGAAUUGAUCAAUGGUUCUAUGACAAACUGAUGAAGGUUCAUUUGACUGUCACUCCAGCUCCUGUGAGCAGACCUUCACACACCACUGAAAACACACUUAUAACAUCUAACACUCAUACAACAACACUCACAUCUACAGAGCUAAACUGAAAAGGUGAAUGUGCUGCUUCAAUCUUACUAAUACUGUUCUGGUUUUCUAUUUUUAUUUUAGGUGGAGUGCCUGUGGUUUGUGCAGUUGUUAUUGCGCUGCUGGGGUUUUGUGUUGUUGUGGCCUUAGCCUAUCUAUGCAGGAAAAGGUCA
Non-coding RNA from Danio rerio (zebrafish), 578 nucleotides. The record is from Ensembl. NCBI's taxonomy places the organism in Eukaryota, Metazoa, Chordata, Actinopteri, Cypriniformes, Danionidae.